Hordeum vulgare subsp. vulgare (domesticated barley) is the source of this 105-nucleotide long non-coding RNA. RefSeq lists it as uncharacterized. The record is from RefSeq and is a predicted model, not a curated record. NCBI's taxonomy places the organism in Eukaryota, Viridiplantae, Streptophyta, Magnoliopsida, Poales, Poaceae. The transcript has 3 exons.
UGAGGAAGCACCAUCACCGGAGGUGUGGGGACGAGUUGGGUGGGGAAGCACCAUCACCAUGGACAACUUCAUCCCCUCGAGGACCAGCAUCAACCAUGGAUGGUG